This 311-nucleotide ribosomal RNA is filed under the name uncultured bacterium. Its description in RNAcentral is "bacterial SSU rRNA". It matches the Rfam family "Bacterial small subunit ribosomal RNA", at positions 172 to 502 of the family's 1533-position model. The record is from RNAcentral.
AAUGACAUUGCCAAUCACAAGUUUGGUAAUUAAAGGUUUACCGCUUAAGGAUGAGUCCGCGUCCCAUUAGCUAGUUGGUAGGGUAAUGGCCUACCAAGGCAACGAUGGGUAGCUGGUCUGAGAGGAUGAUCAGUCACACUGGAACUGGAACACGGUCCAGACUCCUACGGGAGGCAGCAGUGGGGAAUAUUGCACAAUGGGGGAAACCCUGAUGCAGCGACGCCGCGUGGGUGAGGAAGGUUUUAGGAUCGUAAAGCCCUGUCAAGUGGGAAGAAACAAAUGACGGUACCACUAAAGAAGCACCGCUAACU